This 962-nucleotide ribosomal RNA is filed under the name Dothiorella viticola. RNAcentral's name for it is "eukaryotic LSU rRNA". It matches the Rfam family "Eukaryotic large subunit ribosomal RNA", at positions 1 to 978 of the family's 3401-position model. The record is from RNAcentral. Lineage: Eukaryota; Fungi; Ascomycota; Dothideomycetes; Botryosphaeriales; Botryosphaeriaceae.
GGUUGACCUCGGAUCAGGUAGGGAUACCCGCUGAACUUAAGCAUAUCAAUAAGCGGAGGAAAAGAAACCAACUGGGAUUGCCUUAGUAACGGCGAGUGAAGCGGCAAUAGCUCAAAUUUGAAAGCUGGCCCCUUUGGGGUCCGCGUUGUAAUUUGUAGAGGAUGAUUCGGCGAGGGCUCCCGUCUAAGUCCCCUGGAACGGGGCGUCAUAGAGGGUGAGAAUCCCGUAUGUGAUGGGUUGCCUUAGCCAUGUGAAUCUCCUUCGACGAGUCGAGUUGUUUGGGAAUGCAGCUCUAAAUGGGAGGUAAAUUUCUUCUAAAGCUAAAUACCGGCCAGAGACCGAUAGCGCACAAGUAGAGUGAUCGAAAGAUGAAAAGCACUUUGGAAAGAGAGUUAAAAAGUACGUGAAAUUGUUGAAAGGGAAGCGCUUGCAGCCAGACUUGUCCGCAGUUGCUCAGCCGGUCUCCUGACCGGCGUACUCUUCUGCGGCCAGGCCAGCAUCAGUUCGGGCGGUCGGAUAAAGACCCUAGGAAUGUAGCUCCUCUCGGGGAGUGUUAUAGCCUGGGGUGGAAUGCGGCCAGCCUGGACUGAGGAUCUCGCUUCGGCUAGGAUGCUGGCGUAAUGGCUGUAAGCGGCCCGUCUUGAAACACGGACCAAGGAGUCUAACAUCUAUGCGAGUGUUUGGGUGUCAAACCCAUACGCGUAAUGAAAGUGAACGGAGGUGGGAACCCUCACGGGUGCACCAUCGACCGAUCCUGAUGUCUUCGGAUGGAUUUGAGUAAGAGCAUAGCUGUUGGGACCCGAAAGAUGGUGAACUAUGCCUGAAUAGGGUGAAGCCAGAGGAAACUCUGGUGGAGGCUCGCAGCGGUUCUGACGUGCAAAUCGAUCGUCAAAUUUGGGUAUAGGGGCGAAAGACUAAUCGAACCAUCUAGUAGCUGGUUCCUGCCGAAGUUUCCCUCAGGA